GUAAAUUUAAAUGCAGUCCAGAGUAGUGAAGGCCGUUUGUAAGGUCUGCUGAGCUAAUGGAUUCAUAAUGACUUUUAAAGCUUCACUCGGUACAUCCUAUGUGCCAGACACUGCGAUAGGUUCUGGAGAUAACAACAGUGUCCAAGAAACAACAGUGUCCAAGAAACAGGACUUUCCCUCAAAGAGCUUACUGGGGAAGCCAGCAAGACCAGCAGACAAACACAGCUGCACUGGGGGAGAGCCUGCUGAAGCUGCUUGAAUCUCAACACUGUCAUACCCGCCAUCUCAUUAUCUACAGCCACAUCUAAAACCCACAUGAAAUACCAAGUCACACGCGGCUCUGGGAAAGACAUUUUACAGAGACCAUCUUAUGAGUUUUUAAUCUGCCUCCUGAGAACUUACAAUCUAAGAAAUAGAAAACUGAUUCCAGUAAGCAUGCCCAGAAUAUGCUAGCAGCAAGAUUAAAACAUGAAACUAUGAAUGUUAAGGUAUUUAUAACACGCAUCGUUUAAUAGGAUAACAUUUUUCUUAGCAGGAAGGAGCAAAUUUAAGUGCAUUCAGACGUGGGAGAGGGAGAUUGGCCAGCUAAGGAGAUUGGACAGGGUGGAUGCGGAGCUUCUAAGUCCAGAGGAAAACAAAUGAUCAGCUCACGGUAACCCGGGUAGCCGGGCCUUCCACAGCGCUGAUUCCACAGUCUAAAACUUCUAGACCUUCAGGUGGCCGGUUCAAUGUUUCCGUUUAGGUCAUGAGCUCGGCAACAAAUUAAGUAAAGUGUCCCCAGUAAAUGCUGAUAAGCCCCAGGAGGAAACAGGGGCAUCCCCACGCAUACCAAAUGCACUCAUUAGCAUCCCUGCUAUUAUGAAGAAUAGCAAAAUGACCUUGCAAUCAUUAGAAGCUUAAAAUGCUAUGACUUAAGUUUAGAAGGACACAUAUUACAUUGUAAAACCUAAUUAGUGUUACCUUUGCUAAUUGCUGCCUGGCACUGAACUGGAUAAAAUCAAUGCAUGACGGACGUUCCGGGGCAUCAGACAUAACCCCAUCACUAUUUUUAAAAGAAGUAAAAUUAUAGAAGAGCCUUUUGAAAAGGUGUUUUUAACUGAGUUGUUUGACGGAUGUGAGGGAAGCGUGGGCAGUCCAUGCAUUUAUUUGUAUGAAUCCUAAAUGCUGAAAUCUUCUCCCAAGAACACUGUUCUUCUCCUGUACUUCUUUAAUGUAAAUGCGAGAAUAUCAAACAACGGGGGAAAUUACGACAGCGUCAAAAUCCAACCACAGCAUGAAAACAGCUGUGCAGGGAUAUAGUGAAAUCCUAUCCCACAGGCAAUUAGAAUACUCAGCCCUAUCCUAGCCCGAUUCUGCAGCAGGGAUGCCAGGCAGUGCUCUGUGUCUAGGAGCAGGUUCAUCCACUAGAUAAGCUCUACCCGAGCCUCUCUUUUGUCCUCUCUUGAGUAGGUCUCGAGGGCUGUAUGCACUACCGUGGAAAUGUCAAUGAAGCCAGACCCUUCUCCUAUCUGGAGGCUGUCAUGGCCAUAGUGCUGGGGGCAUAGAAGUCAGGUCAUGCUGUAGUUUCUACUUGGCUACUGGAGAUGAAAUCAACCAGAGAAAAGGGGUCAUGCCUCCAGCCACACCUGCCCACCGGAAACACACACACAUAAUACAUACACACGUGCACAUGCACACACACGUGCACAGAGCCAGGCCUUACUUCUAGCUGUGCUCAGCAUUUGUAAUAAGGCUGUGAAAAGAAAAUCAUUUUCUCAGGGUUGCUUUUUUUCUUCCUUAAGGAUAAAUAAUAGCUGAUUUUUCAAGAAAAAAAAGCUGCCACUUGUGCCUCUCCCAGGGCCCCUCCUGAGCAUAUCCUAAAUGGUACAGAUUAAAAUCGAGUCAUAAAACUUACAAACCACAAGCAGUGAGAAAGACAGUUGGGAGUUCUGCUUCCACGGUGGGUCCUGAGGAGGGCUGGGGUCCCCUGGAGUCCCUCAGCUUCUGCUGAGCAGGAGGGUACGAAGGGGAUGAAGAAAACAGAGCAGGCAGGGACCACCCUCAGGCAUGGCAGCCCCUCUUAGCUAUUUUAAAUAUUGUUCCCUGUAAAAUUUCAAUUAGGAAAGGAAAGCUUCUACUGCUAAAAAUUAUUGGAAGAUCACCAAGAAGCCAUUGAGGCCAAGGGAGGCUAAGUGGCCUCUCUCUGGUGCACAGAGACACUGAUAGAGCCAGGAUCAGAAUUCAGGCACCCAGAGUCCAGCAUUCUGUCUCCAGCUGGGCAUGGAAGGAAGGGGAAGGGAGCCAACCAUUCCCAAUGCUGGCAGUGGCCUAGAAUUCCUAGGCUUCCUGAAAGAUAUCAAACCCCAACUUUGUUUUUGCAGAUAUUCAUAUGUAUUCUUGGGCAAGAUUUCUUUCCCUGGGCUAGAUGUCCCAAGGACCACACUCCUCUGUCCCUUUCAAAGAAAAGACAGACCUCACUGGGAAGUCCUGGAUUGUGUCCACUGCUGCUGUCACCGGAGUCUGACCCCAGCCCUGCCCAUCUCCAGGGAUCGCAGAACCUGCCAGCCAACUUCCUUUGAGUCAGCCGGUCAGGGCUGCAUCUUAGAAGCCAAGCUGCUUUGGUGUGAUUUCUGAAGUCUGUGCAUUUGCCUUAACUGUCAGGCCACUGGCUUCCCUGAGACUGGCUUCUGCCGUUUGCUCCCUGACAGUGAUAGUGAUAGCAGGACAGACUAACAGUCGGAGCACCCUGUGCAUCUCUUUCCAAGGAAUCCAUCCAUGGCAGGGACUGUGGAGCGCUCUCAAAGACAGCCACUUUGCAGGCAUUUAGUAGGACAUGGGCUCACCUCUUGCCUCCUCUUCUGCCUUUCCUUCCAGCUCCUUGCCCUUUACAAUAGCUGAAGAUUUUUUUAAGUGGAGCUGCUGAUAAUUAAAAUUAUAUCUUUUUUCCACCAAUGUCUGAAACUCUGGGAAGUCAUUAUCAGAGUCAGACAGUGAUAUUUUGAUAUCCCAGGAUCUUUUUGAUAUAAGGAAUAAAGUUCUAAGGCAUGAGAAGAUAGAGAGCCAUGCUAUUUCCUAAUCACCCUUUAUAAUUUGCAGUAUCUUGGGACGCUUCUCAGAUGUUUCCACUGUGGCUUAUGUACACUUCAAACCCAUGUGCCAUUAAAUGCAGAAGCUAGGUACUGAAUUAAUAAAGGUAGCUUCAAAAGCCCACCUCUUUGGCAGGCUGAAGAUCUAAGGGCAAACUCAAAGAGGGUGAUGGGCCUUUGAAAAUUACUAAGCACAAACAAUAAACCUCAUUAAAUAAAGGCAGCAGAGUGGGCUCAGAAAUGUAAUGAACCAAGCGGGGGACCAACAGCACUGGAAUCAGCCUGGGAAUUAACAUAUCAGGGAGCUGAGGCUCAGGUUGAAAGAAGGGAUUGUGUUUUGGAAAAUCAUGUGACUCCUAUUGAAACAAUGCUGAGGACAGUGGUUGGGAGGAUGCUGGGGCAGCGCUGGGCACAGGCAGGCCGCUGUGGUGCUGGGACUGGGGGACGCUCAUGUUUGCAGUCGUCUACUCUCUCACUCACCCUAGUGGCUUCAGUAGAGUCUACAGAAGGCAGAGUAUUUGGGCAGGGCCUGUAAAGAAAGAGAAAAGCUGAUAGAAGCUGCUUGGCCAUCGAAAUGAACUCCUUUUGCCAGGAUGUGCAGCCACGGGACUCCCACAGCACCCCUCCAGGUGCCUUCUGUCCACAGCCAGGGAGCAGAAAACUGGAGGGAUUUGGUCACCAUUAAAUGGCAAAGUGCUUGAUGAGAUCCUGUUGAAAAUUGAGCAGCAGAUUGGACAAUUAGAGUGCCAGACCAGCACGUGGAGUUUUCAGAAAUAGAUGGGAGUUGCUGGAUAAUAGGUCACAUUAGGCCACCACAGGAGCACGCAGGACUGCUCAGUCUCUGAGCCCCAAGCUCUUCCCUCUAGACUCUGGCAUGGCCAGUACAAGCCCUUUCUCGGCUAUUGUUGCUGGUCAGGGCUGACUGUCUUAGGUAUGAGGCACUCUCGGAAGGCUGCUCAGGAAGAAGACCCUUUCUCUUUCAUGAACCUGCCGGGAGCCAGAAACCAUUCUCCUCCCACUUUCACCCCUCAGCUCUAUCCCCACCUCCCCAAUAAUUUUAUCUUCAUUUUAACUCAAGAAUUUAACUACAGAGAUUGCACUGACCCAUCCCCCUAGAAUGAAAGGACACAAGAUCCUCCACCAGAUAGUUAUUUGUGAUUGUGGCUGGGGGUUUAUUUAAACUAAUUUUAUUAUUCAUGACACUGACAAUUUAUGCAGUGAAUGCAAUUAGAGGCUAUGAUUGGCUGCCACAGCUAAGGGCUAAAAGUGCCACUUCCUUGGAUAUGCAAGGAAGAAAGGCGAAGAAUGUUAGAAAAAUAAUCAGUCACGGAGAUAUUUUUUAUGAAGUGAUUCCCACAAACCUUGAUUUUUAAAAAAAGCUAAUUUAAUUUCCCUAACACCCUGCAAAAGAUAUCUAAUUAUCCACUCUUAAAUUGCUCUCAUAAUUUUUCCAAAGUUCUCUAUUGUUUAUGCCUUUGUGAGUUCUCCUUGUCUACAAGCAAAGAAGCUGUCGUCUCAAUGUGCAGGUUCCAAUAAAACGUACUGAAACUGAUUCUUCCCGAAGCUGUGCAUAGAAGCCCUGAUGUGGCCUGUAAUAUAUUUGUCCAUUUAACCAGGAAAUAUUUGAGAAACAAGACUUGAGUGGUAAUCAUUUAGAGUUCUGGGAGGAGAAGAGGGAAUUGACUUUUUUUCUUCUCCUUUUUUUUUCCAAGAAGAACAAUUUUUAAAAAAUCAUUGGACAUCAAACCAAAACAAAUCAUGGUGCCUCCACACAAUGGGAUAUUCCUCAGCAGUAGAAAGGAAUGGACUACUGAUCACGCAGUAAUGAUGACGAAUGUCAAUGUAAUUAUGCCAAGUGAAAGAAGCCAGCCAAAAGGUUCAUAUUAUGUGAUUUUAUUUAUAUGAAGUAUUUUUUAAAAAGGCAAACUAGUCUUUCAAGACAAAAAGCAGAUCCCUGGGUACU
This 5028-nucleotide long non-coding RNA is filed under the name Homo sapiens (human). RNAcentral's name for it is "HSALNT0365628". Lineage: Eukaryota; Metazoa; Chordata; Mammalia; Primates; Hominidae. The record is from RNAcentral.